AUUUAUAAAGGUUAUAAUCCUUUUUUUUUUA
Molecule: transfer RNA, 31 nt
Filed under: Drosophila fulvimacula
Lineage: Eukaryota; Metazoa; Arthropoda; Insecta; Diptera; Drosophilidae
Also listed under: 1 other name
Description: partial tRNA-Met
Source: RNAcentral